This 425-nucleotide ribosomal RNA is filed under the name uncultured Clostridium sp. RNAcentral describes it as "bacterial SSU rRNA". It matches the Rfam family "Bacterial small subunit ribosomal RNA", at positions 355 to 794 of the family's 1533-position model. Lineage: Bacteria; Bacillati; Bacillota; Clostridia; Eubacteriales; Clostridiaceae. The record is from RNAcentral.
UGGGGGAUAUUGCACAAUGGAGGAAACUCUGAUGCAGCAACGCCGCGUGAAGGAAGAAGGUCUUCGGAUUGUAAACUUCUGUUCUUAGUGACGAAACAAAUGACGGUAGCUAAGGAGAAAGCCACGGCUAACUACGUGCCAGCAGCCGCGGUAAUACGUAGGUGGCGAGCGUUGUCCGGAAUUACUGGGUGUAAAGGGUGCGCAGGCGGGACUGCAAGUUGGAUGUGAAAUACCGAGGCUUAACCUCGGAGCUGCAUCCAAAACUGUGGUUCUUGAGUGAAGUAGAGGUAGGCGGAAUUCCGAGUGUAGCGGUGAAAUGCGUAGAUAUUCGGAGGAACACCAGUGGCGAAGGCGGCCUACUGGGCUUUAACUGACGCUGAGGCACGAAAGUAUGGGGAGCAAACAGGAUUAGAUACCCUGGUAGU